UUUUUAUGAGAGUUUGAUCCUGGCUCAGGACGAACGCUGGCGGCGUGCCUAAUACAUGCAAGUCGAACGCUUCUUUUUCCACCGGAGCUUGCUCCACCGGAAAAAGAGGAGUGGCGAACGGGUGAGUAACACGUGGGUAACCUGCCCAUCAGAAGGGGAUAACACUUGGAAACAGGUGCUAAUACCGUAUAACAAUCGAAACCGCAUGGUUUUGAUUUGAAAGGCGCUUUCGGGUGUCGCUGAUGGAUGGACCCGCGGUGCAUUAGCUAGUUGGUGAGGUAACGGCUCACCAAGGCCACGAUGCAUAGCCGACCUGAGAGGGUGAUCGGCCACAUUGGGACUGAGACACGGCCCAAACUCCUACGGGAGGCAGCAGUAGGGAAUCUUCGGCAAUGGACGAAAGUCUGACCGAGCAACGCCGCGUGAGUGAAGAAGGUUUUCGGAUCGUAAAACUCUGUUGUUAGAGAAGAACAAGGAUGAGAGUAACUGUUCAUCCCUUGACGGUAUCUAACCAGAAAGCCACGGCUAACUACGUGCCAGCAGCCGCGGUAAUACGUAGGUGGCAAGCGUUGUCCGGAUUUAUUGGGCGUAAAGCGAGCGCAGGCGGUUUCUUAAGUCUGAUGUGAAAGCCCCCGGCUCAACCGGGGAGGGUCAUUGGAAACUGGGAGACUUGAGUGCAGAAGAGGAGAGUGGAAUUCCAUGUGUAGCGGUGAAAUGCGUAGAUAUAUGGAGGAACACCAGUGGCGAAGGCGGCUCUCUGGUCUGUAACUGACGCUGAGGCUCGAAAGCGUGGGGAGCAAACAGGAUUAGAUACCCUGGUAGUCCACGCCGUAAACGAUGAGUGCUAAGUGUUGGAGGGUUUCCGCCCUUCAGUGCUGCAGCUAACGCAUUAAGCACUCCGCCUGGGGAGUACGACCGCAAGGUUGAAACUCAAAGGAAUUGACGGGGGCCCGCACAAGCGGUGGAGCAUGUGGUUUAAUUCGAAGCAACGCGAAGAACCUUACCAGGUCUUGACAUCCUUUGACCACUCUAGAGAUAGAGCUUCCCCUUCGGGGGCAAAGUGACAGGUGGUGCAUGGUUGUCGUCAGCUCGUGUCGUGAGAUGUUGGGUUAAGUCCCGCAACGAGCGCAACCCUUAUUGUUAGUUGCCAUCAUUCAGUUGGGCACU
RNAcentral lists this ribosomal RNA (1167 nucleotides) under Enterococcus faecium. RNAcentral describes it as "bacterial SSU rRNA". It matches the Rfam family "Bacterial small subunit ribosomal RNA", at positions 1 to 1139 of the family's 1533-position model. Lineage: Bacteria; Bacillati; Bacillota; Bacilli; Lactobacillales; Enterococcaceae. The record is from RNAcentral.